Molecule: non-coding RNA, 941 nt
Filed under: Acanthodoras cataphractus (chocolate talking catfish)
Lineage: Eukaryota; Metazoa; Chordata; Actinopteri; Siluriformes; Doradidae
Description: partial 12S ribosomal RNA
Rfam family: Bacterial small subunit ribosomal RNA
Source: RNAcentral
CUUUACUAUCAGCUUUGGCCCAAUUUAUACAUGCAAGUAUCCGCACUCCCGUGAGAAUGCCCUCAAUCCCCCGCCCGGGGACGAGGAGCAGGCAUCAGGCACAUCACCUUAUAGCCCAGGACGCCUUGCUACGCCACUCCCCCAAGGGAUUUCAGCAGUAACAGACAUUAAGCAAUGAGCGCCAAGCUCGACUUAGUUAUGGCCAUGAGGGUCGGUAAAAUUCGUGCCAGCCACCGCGGUUAUACGAAAGACCCUAGUUGACAGAUGUCGGCGUAAAGGGUGGUUAAGGGUUUUAAAAAAUAAAGCUAAAGAUCCUCUAGGCUGUCAUACGCUCUCCGAAGAAACGAAACCCCAAGACGAAAGUAGCUUUAAACAAACCCCUGACACCACGAAAGCUGAGAAACAAACUGGGAUUAGAUACCCCACUAUGCUCAGCCUUAAACCUAGAUGUACUCUUACACAUACAUCCGCCGGGGUACUACGAGCACAGCUUAAAACCCAAAGGACUUGGCGGUGUCUCAGACCCACCUAGAGGAGCCUGUUCUAGAACCGAUAACCCUCGUUAAACCUCACCACUCCUUGUCUUCCCCGCCUAUAUACCGCCGUCGUCAGCUUACCCUGUGAAGGCCUAAUAGUAAGCAAAAUGGGCACACCCAAAAACGUCAGGUCGAGGUGUAGCGUACGGAGUGGGAAGAAAUGGGCUACAUUUUCUACUUUAAAGAAUAUUACGGACGGUACCAUGAAAUAGAUACCUGAAGGUGGAUUUAGCAGUAAAAAGAAAACAGAGUGUACUUUUGAAUUAGGCUCUGAGACGCGCACACACCGCCCGUCACUCUCCCCUCAAACACCCAACAACCCAACAUAACUAAUAACACAAACACUAACGUCGGGGAGGCAAGUCGUAACAUGGUAAGUGUACCGGAAGGUGCACUUGGAAUAAU